CGCGGUAUCCUGACCGUGCUAAGGUAGCGUGAUAAGUUGCCCUUUAAUUGUGGGCUUGUAUGAGUGGGUACACGAGAAUUAAGCUGUCUCUAAAUAAUAGAAAUUAAUAUUAAGGUGAAAAAGCCUUGAUUUUAAUAUAGGACAAAAAGACCCUAUAGAGCUUUAUUUUAUAAUCAUAAAUAGAAAAGUUAAAAAUAUUUUUUAUUUAAGGGUUAAAAUUUAACUGGGGCGGUUUAUGAAGAGAAAUAUCUUCUUUAAGAUUUUAAAACUUAUAAGUUUAUUAUAAUAAUAGAUCCUUUUAAAGAUUAAUAAAAUAGCUACCUUAGGGGUAACAGACUAAUUUUUUUUGAGAGUUCGUAUUGACAAAAAAGUUUGGCACCUCGAUGUUGGCUUAG
RNAcentral lists this ribosomal RNA (395 nucleotides) under Anobothrus auriculatus. RNAcentral describes it as "partial large subunit ribosomal RNA". It matches the Rfam family "Bacterial large subunit ribosomal RNA", at positions 1932 to 2540 of the family's 2925-position model. Lineage: Eukaryota; Metazoa; Annelida; Polychaeta; Terebellida; Ampharetidae. The record is from RNAcentral.